GGAAUAUUGGACAAUGGGGGCAACCCUGAUCCAGCAAUGCCACGUGUGUGAAGAAGGCCUUAGGGUUGUAAAGCACUUUCAGUUGGGAAGAAAAGUAGUCGAUUAAGAGUUAAUUACUGUGACAUUACCAACAGAAGAAGCACCGGCUAACUCCGUGCCAGCAGCCGCGGUAAUACGGAGGGUGCAAGCGUUAAUCGGAAUUACUGGGCGUAAAGAGUUCGUAGGCGGUUAGAUAAGUUAGAUGUGAAAGCCCUGGGCUCAACCUAGGAAUUGCAUUUAAUACUGUUUAACUAGAGUACAGUAGAGGAGAGGGGAAUUUCCAGUGUAGCGGUGAAAUGCGUAGAGAUUGGAAGGAACACCAGUGGCGAAGGCGACUCUCUGGACUGAUACUGACGCUGAGGAACGAAAGCAUGGGUAGCAAACAGGAUUAGAUACCCUAGUAGUCC
Molecule: ribosomal RNA, 446 nt
Filed under: uncultured bacterium
Lineage: Bacteria
Description: bacterial SSU rRNA
Rfam family: Bacterial small subunit ribosomal RNA
Source: RNAcentral